RNAcentral lists this ribosomal RNA (497 nucleotides) under uncultured bacterium. RNAcentral describes it as "partial 16S ribosomal RNA". It matches the Rfam family "Bacterial small subunit ribosomal RNA", at positions 28 to 507 of the family's 1533-position model. The record is from RNAcentral.
GACGAACGCUGGCGGCGUGCCUAAUACAUGCAAGUUGAGCGAUGAAGAUUGGUGCUUGCCCCAAUUUGAAGAGCAGCGAACGGGUGAGUAACGCGUGGGGAAUCUGCCUUUGAGCGGGGGACAACAUUUGGAAACGAAUGCUGAUACCGCAUAACAACUUUAAACAUAAGUUUUAAGUUUGAAAGAUGCAAUUGCAUCACUCAAAGAUGAUCCCGCGUUGUAUUAGCUAGUUGGUGAGGUAAAGGCUCACCAAGGCGAUGAUACAUAGCCGACCUGAGAGGGUGAUCGGCCACAUUGGGACUGAGACACGGCCCAAACUCCUACGGGAGGCAGCAGUAGGGAAUCUUCGGCAAUGGACGAAAGUCUGACCGAGCAACGCCGCGUGAGUGAAGAAGGGUUUCGGAUCGUAAAACUCUGUUGGUAGAGAAGAACGUUGGUGAGAGUGGAAAGCUCAUCAAGUGACGGUAACUACCCAGAAAGGGACGGCUAACUACGUG